This 496-nucleotide ribosomal RNA is filed under the name uncultured bacterium. Its description in RNAcentral is "partial 16S ribosomal RNA". It matches the Rfam family "Bacterial small subunit ribosomal RNA", at positions 29 to 507 of the family's 1533-position model. The record is from RNAcentral.
AUGAACGCUGGCGGCGUGCCUCAUACAUGCAAGUCGAGCGAACAGACGAGGAGCUUGCUCCUCUGACGUUAGCGGCGGACGGGUGAGUAACACGUGGAUAACCUACCUAUAAGACUGGGAUAACUUCGGGAAACCGGAGCUAAUACCGGAUAAUAUAUUGAACCGCAUGGUUCAAUAGCGAAAGACGGUUUUGCUGUCACUUAUAGAUGGAUCCGCGCCGCAUUAGCUAGUUGGUAAGGUAACGGCUUACCAAGGCAACGAUGCGUAGCCGACCUGAGAGGGUGAUCGGCCACACUGGAACUGAGACACGGUCCAGACUCCUACGGGAGGCAGCAGUAGGGAAUCUUCCGCAAUGGGCGAAAGCCUGACGGAGCAACGCCGCGUGAGUGAUGAAGGUCUUCGGAUCGUAAAACUCUGUUAUUAGGGAAGAACAAAUGUGUAAGUAACUAUGCACGUCUUGACGGUACCUAAUCAGAAAGCCACGGCUAACUACGUG